GCAGACACAUUCCAGCCAAUCAGCAGCAGACCCUCCCUCCCAGACCCUACCUCCCAGACCCUCCCACCUCCUGGACAGCAUCCAUUUUACAUUCAUUGUGAAGCUGCAUUCUUAGUGAGCUGUCCAGGAGGUGGGAGGGUCUGGGAGGGAGGGUCUGCUGCUGAUUGGCUGGAAUGUGUCUG
Molecule: microRNA precursor, 182 nt
Filed under: Pelobates cultripes (western spadefoot toad)
Lineage: Eukaryota; Metazoa; Chordata; Amphibia; Anura; Pelobatidae
Source: RNAcentral